GCGCUCGUGGCGGAACUGGAAGACGCGCCCCGGCUCAGACCCGGGUGCCCUACACGGGCAUGCAGGUUCGAUUCCUGCCGAGCGCACUA
RNAcentral lists this transfer RNA (89 nucleotides) under Mycolicibacterium porcinum. Its description in RNAcentral is "tRNA-Leu". It matches the Rfam family "tRNA". From Rfam's summary of the family: Transfer RNA (tRNA) molecules are approximately 80 nucleotides in length. Their secondary structure includes four short double-helical elements and three loops (D, anti-codon, and T loops). Lineage: Bacteria; Bacillati; Actinomycetota; Actinomycetes; Mycobacteriales; Mycobacteriaceae. The record is from RNAcentral.